Molecule: long non-coding RNA, 209 nt
Filed under: Apteryx owenii (little spotted kiwi)
Lineage: Eukaryota; Metazoa; Chordata; Aves; Apterygiformes; Apterygidae
Description: lncRNA (ENSAOWG00000010345.1)
Source: RNAcentral
GGAGGAAGAGGAGGAGGAAGAUGACAACCUUGAUGAAGCUUUAUCUGGUGUCGGCGCCUCCUGUGCCUGGAGUGAGCUCGCCUGCCACGCGGCUACCACUGAGCUGGCCCCACCUGGGACAACCCCCAGACAGCCGGAGGCAGCUGGGAGGGGUUGGAGACCCCCCCACACCUGACCCCAGCAGUGCCUGCCCUACAGCCCCUCUGGGC